AUUUAGAUUAUGCAUUUUAUUGAUGGUAUUAUGACGAUUUUAUGAUUAUCUCCAAUUAACUGCAAUAAAAAAAUAGGAUGGCUACCUUUAUCCUUUUAAUUAGAGAAGUUUCAGGAAACAGGUGUUGAUUAUAUAUUGCAGUAUAAUAAUCACAUGAUAAUUAAUAACAGCGGUAUUUAAUGACAGCCUGAUAACAUUUUUAUGAUAUCCCGUUAGUAAAGCAGCUUGAGU
Molecule: long non-coding RNA, 231 nt
Filed under: Mytilus galloprovincialis (Mediterranean mussel)
Lineage: Eukaryota; Metazoa; Mollusca; Bivalvia; Mytilida; Mytilidae
Source: RNAcentral